UGGGGAAUAUUGGACAAUGGGGGCAACCCUGAUCCAGCAAUGCCGCGUGUGUGAAGAAGGUCUUCGGAUUGUAAAGCACUUUCGACGGGGACGAUGAUGACGGUACCCGUAGAAGAAGCCCCGGCUAACUUCGUGCCAGCAGCCGCGGUAAUACGAAGGGGGCUAGCGUUGCUCGGAAUGACUGGGCGUAAAGGGCGUGUAGGCGGUUUACACAGUCAGAUGUGAAAUCCCCGGGCUUAACCUGGGAGCUGCAUUUGAUACGUGUAGACUAGAGUGUGAGAGAGGGUUGUGGAAUUCCCAGUGUAGAGGUGAAAUUCGUAGAUAUUGGGAAGAACACCGGUGGCGAAGGCGGCAACCUGGCUCAUGACUGACGCUGAGGCGCGAAAGCGUGGGGAGCAAACAGGUUAGAUACCCUGGUAGUCCACGCUGUAAACGAUGUGUGCUAGAUGUUGGGUAACUUUGUUA
Molecule: ribosomal RNA, 465 nt
Filed under: uncultured bacterium
Lineage: Bacteria
Description: partial 16S ribosomal RNA
Rfam family: Bacterial small subunit ribosomal RNA
Source: RNAcentral